Molecule: ribosomal RNA, 651 nt
Filed under: uncultured Funneliformis
Lineage: Eukaryota; Fungi; Glomeromycota; Glomeromycetes; Glomerales; Glomeraceae
Description: SSU rRNA
Rfam family: Eukaryotic small subunit ribosomal RNA
Source: RNAcentral
AAGCUCGUAGUUGAAUUUCGGGAUCAAUGGAUUGGUCAUGCCGAUGGUAUGUACUGGUCAUAUUGGUUCUCACCUUCUAAGGAACCAUAAUGUCAUUUAUUUGAUGUUGUGGGGAAUUAGGACUGUUACCUUGAAAAAAUUAGAGUGUUUAAAGCAGGCUAACGCUUGAAUACAUUAGCAUGGAAUAAUGAAAUAGGACAUCGCAUUCUAUUUUGUUGGUUUCUAGGAUCGAUGUAAUGAUUAAUAGGGAUAGUUGGGGGCAUUAGUAUUCAAUUGUCAGAGGUGUAAUUCUUGGAUUUAUUGAAGACUAACUACUGCGAAAGCAUUUGCCAAGGAUGUUUUCAUUAAUCAAGAACGAAAGUUAGGGGAUCGAAGACGAUCAGAUACCGUCGUAGUCUUAACCAUAAACUAUGCCGACUAGGGAUCGGAUGAUGUUGAUUUUUUAAUGACUCAUUCGGCGCCUUACGGGAAACCAAAGUGUUUGGGUUCCGGGGGGAGCAUGGUCGCAAGGCUGAAACUUAAAGGAAUUGACGGAAGGGCACCACCAGGGGUGGAGCCUGCGGCUUAAUUUGACUCAACACGGGGAAACUCACCAGGUCCAGACAUAGUAAGGAUUGACAGAUUGAGAGCUCUUUCUUGAUUCUAUGGGUG